CUUUUUCUUUGGUUGAGCCGUCGAUGCUCCUUUGGGACGCGAUGAGAAGUACUCUCUAUGCUUCUCUUCCUGCUCUUGUUCAUGGAAGGAAGUGGCUGUUGCUGUACAGGUUGUCGGAGACCGAAGAGGAGCAGUGUUUGGAAGCUUAGUUGAAGCGCCUCUUAGACCAUCCAACAAGAAAUACCAGGUCAAACCAAAACUCAUUUAUCCAAAGAUUAUCCGAUAGAUUGUAUCUGUUAUUGUAUUAUUGAUGACAAAUAUUUGGUACAGGGAACAAACAGUACAUUUGUUUUCACAAAUAUUUUUGGCCAUCCUGUUAUAUAUCGUUCAACAGGGUUAAACCGCUAUUUCACACUAUGCAACAGCGAGUUCUUAGCAAUUGGAGGGGGAAGUCAUUUUGCGCUUUAUUUGGAGGGUGAUCUGUAAGAACUUUCUACUUCCGUCGCUAUCUCUUUGCUUAAAUUGUUACUUUCACACUGCC
This is a long non-coding RNA of Arachis duranensis, 481 nucleotides long. RefSeq lists it as uncharacterized. The record is from RefSeq and is a predicted model, not a curated record. NCBI's taxonomy places the organism in Eukaryota, Viridiplantae, Streptophyta, Magnoliopsida, Fabales, Fabaceae. The transcript is spliced from 3 exons.